AUUGAACGCUGGCGGCAGGCCUAACACAUGCAAGUCGAGCGGUAGAGAGGUGCUUGCACCUCUUGAGAGCGGCGGACGGGUGAGUAAAGCCUAGGAAUCUGCCUGGUAGUGGGGGAUAACGCUCGGAAACGGACGCUAAUACCGCAUGCGUCCUACGGGAGAAAGCAGGGGACCUUCGGGCCUUGCGCUAUCAGAUGAGC
This 200-nucleotide ribosomal RNA is filed under the name uncultured bacterium. RNAcentral describes it as "partial 16S ribosomal RNA". It matches the Rfam family "Bacterial small subunit ribosomal RNA", at positions 30 to 230 of the family's 1533-position model. The record is from RNAcentral.